UCUCGGAAAGCGGCAGCAACAUUGUAACGCGUUGCGAAAUACGCGCGGAGUGUGUUUGCGUCGCAAGAAACGCACCGGCGAUCAAUCCGGCUUCACGGGCCUCCGAGGUAUCGAUCGCGCACGCAGAAGGAGGCUGAAGGGAGAGAGACAGAAGAGAGAAGAGAGACGUGCUAAUGCAUAUAUUAAAUAUCAUAUGUCUCAAUAACACGCGCGCGGCAGGUUCCUCGCGAGUGCGAGCAGUUUUUCCGGCGUCGCGUCGUCGCGAGGCAGUGCUUUAAAAUCACCGCGCGAGCCGUCUUCACACUUCGCUCAUUGAUUCGUGUCGCUGAAGUUCAAUGUCGCUUUAUGCACCGUCGACGUGGGAUUGCGUCAUCGUUCGACGAUAAUUUCUGAAUCAUGACAAGACACAAAAUGGAGGGAGGGCCGUGUUUGAGAAAUUAGCAAGCCGGGAACUUUGAUCUAGCGAUAAGCGUUCUGAGAGUAUCUUUCGUCGAUUAUCUCUCUAUAGUCAUCCGUCGGAAACACUUCGUGUUUCGAGGCCUCUUCACAUAAUACCUUCGCACCGACAGCGUGUUUCUCUAUAUGCUGAUAUGACACACCGACGAGUCACGCAUUUGCGUGCAACGGCAAUACGCAGAUCUCACUGCGUAUUAUCGCCUCUAAUAUCCGUAUCAUUAUUAAUUUAAGCUCACGCAGGGGGAGAACGAGUGCCGUUUCUCACGAAAGAAAUUCGCGCGUUAUCAUCGCCAAGCGACGACGGGGCGGUAGAAAACCAACGACGGGCGUCGUCAUCGCCCCGGUCAUAUAGUUCGCGACUCACAUUUUUCUGCUUCAUUUACCUCGAUAUUACCUCGAUUCCGCCGCCGUCUAAUAAAUCCUUUUUCCGCAAGGCCACGAUCGAUCAUUGCGCGCAGAAAAAAAAAACCCGACGCGGAAACUUUUACGACCGUCUCUUCUUCCCAGGUGUAAAAAUAUCGCAUCUCGCUCGUCUCCGAUGCAAGCAUCGAUUUAUUAUAAUUUGCCCGAUUCUCGCGGAGGUAAAAUGAGACGAGUUUCUUCGAAACGGUAUCAAUAAAGUCGAGAUACGUUAUGAACAAGUUCGCGUUAAUAAUCAUCGUGCCUGCAGACUAAUCUUCGGAUGAUGUAAUCUCCGGCUUAUGAUAACGCACGUUUUCAACCGAUGGAUUAAUAAAGAGUGGGCGGAUUCGUGUCAUUAAAAGUCAAUUAAUGACGUAUUAAUCGCGUUAAUGGCGUAGCCCCGACCGAUGACGGCAAUAAUAUAAACGUCGUAAACACGAGCAGCUGGCCAUGCAUUUCGCCGGUGUCAACCGGUGUAAUAUAAGGGGGAAGAAAAAUUGCUUCGUCAUUUGAAAUUAAAGAGUGAAGAAACCGUAUCGGAUUGUUAAUUUCCAAUCUAACGAUUGUGACACAACAAGAAAUAUAAUGCGAUGCAAUAAGUGUGUAUAUCGCAACGACGUGAAUUUACGAUAGAAAUUCGCUUCUAUCACAAAAAAAUGCGUCUAAUUAUCUAAUCGUCCUGAAUAUCCGGGACUUCCGUAUUCCAGUUUUCCAACUCUGAGAACGCCACGUGCUGUCAGCCUGAAACGAUCAUGUCAAGCGUCAUGUCGAAAUAAACGCGCGCUUCUUUUUUAGCCGCGAGACCAUGUUACUGCGUUAAAAAUUCUGAGAUUUUGUGGCGAGCGCGAGACUGAAAAAGGGCUUCUAAGAAACCCGGGGAUGUGCGUGAUGCGUCAAUAACUUACUCUGC
This is a long non-coding RNA of Wasmannia auropunctata (little fire ant), 1768 nucleotides long. RefSeq lists it as uncharacterized. Lineage: Eukaryota; Metazoa; Arthropoda; Insecta; Hymenoptera; Formicidae. The transcript has 3 exons. The record is from RefSeq and is a predicted model, not a curated record.